GGCGAACGGGUGAGUAACGCGUGAGGAACCUGCCUCAAAGAGGGGGACAACAGUUGGAAACGACUGCUAAUACCGCAUAAGCCCACGGGUCGGCAUCGACCAGAGGGAAAAGGAGCAAUCCGCUUUGAGAUGGCCUCGCGUCCGAUUAGCUAGUUGGUGAGGUAAUGGCCCACCAAGGCAACGAUCGGUAGCCGGACUGAGAGGUUGAACGGCCACAUUGGGACUGAGACACGGCCCAGACUCCUACGGGAGGCAGCAUG
This 260-nucleotide ribosomal RNA is filed under the name uncultured bacterium. RNAcentral's name for it is "partial 16S ribosomal RNA". It matches the Rfam family "Bacterial small subunit ribosomal RNA", at positions 97 to 353 of the family's 1533-position model. The record is from RNAcentral.